UAAACACGAAGCGUUUACAAAUUGUAAAUGAGUAGUUGUUGCGGAUAGAAUUGACAGAAUGUUUAAAUCACCGAUCGAUGGAAAAGGGAAGGGUUCGUAUCCUGUCAAUGGCACAGUCCUGUACCCUUGGUCAACACACCAACUUAAUUGUGGGUGGUUAUUAUACCAAUUGAUACAUCUCAGUUUUUUUAUUAUGUAAAGAAUCAAAUGAACAACCCACAAUAUAUUCCUGGUACACUUAUUUAAUUGCAUUCAAAUUGAUGAAAACCCAAGUGAACACAAGUAAUAUUUGAACUUAAACAUGUCAAUCAGUUAUUCUCAAUAUCUUUUUUGAUUUUGUGGUACCCAGUAUACUAAGAAAAAAAGAUUUUAUAAAAACGGUUUGAAAGAGAAAUUUGUAAAAAUAAACAAAAAAACUGUUGUUUACCUGAUUUGAUUAAGCAUAUUUUGUAUGUGACUAAAUCAUGAAUUGCUCGUUUUUCAAGAUGAUCUAGCAUUUAGAGUUGAUUUUGUAAAACCUUAAAAUAUAUUUUUUUUAAAUCCGUCAGACACCUUGAUACACAAGUCCACUGAGCACACUGCUUGAGAGUCACUGAUGUAGAUAGACAAUACAAAAUUUCAGUGGCCUACUGUUUCUGUCAAAAUUCUUUCACAGAAACCAUUACCACUUGAAAAGAAAGAAAAUAGCAGAGAGGCCAAUCUCACUUUUAAAUGGGGCAAAAUGAAACUAUCCCUGAAGAGUCAGGUAGAGGUAGUGAAUACCUAUGUUUCAAUCCUUAUCUACUACCACUUGACUGUUGUGCCUUUCCCUACUUCAUGGCUGACUAGACUGGAGAACUUGUUUUUCGACUUUCUGUGGAAGGUAUGGGUUCUUCUGUUCAGACAGUCUAUUUACUGUCAACAUCCACUACGUGGAGGGCUAGGCAUGCCAUGGCUAAUGAUGCACAGAUAUGCACUAAGGUUGUUGUUGCUCAUUGUCAGGCUCAUUUUUCCACAGCUCAUAUCUUUGACUGAGAUGCAGUCCUGGAUUAAGCAUAUACUGAGGCAGAGUACCUGGUACCACAGCCUUCUACAAAUUGAGCAAUGCAGUCAGAGGAAGCCAUAUUAUGGUGAUCCAUAGGGAAUUAAUGGCAGGCAAGAGCAACAUCCUUAGGGAGAUUCUGGGUGUCAACAAGAAUGAACUAACUAACUUGUUCUAGAGGAUUUUGGUCCAUGGCCUAUGGAUAAUUUCUAGAAAUCCCUAGACUGGCAGUACUACUUGGUGAAGGGCAUUAGCAGCUCAGGUGUGGUAGUGCCUUCUGCUGACUGCUUGAGAUACACACAGUGACAAAACCAUUUUGCAUGUGCUUGUACAGUGUCCAAGCAUUGCAGACUUGUAACAUUAUGCUAUCACAUAUCAGACAGAUUCAGCUAUCAGCCAACUCCAUUGAGAUCAUCCUGCCACCUUCCUCUGGCUAGGAAAGAUAAGCAGUUUUCCUCUAUCUGCUGGUUAUGGCAAAAGAGAUUGUAUUGUAGAUAAGAUUGAAAGGAUUGGAGACAGACACUUCCCUUUUCAGCCAAGAUCUUACCAACUUUUUUUAAGCUCCUUUUGAAAUUUACCCCUCAGUAAAUUUGUUGAAAAGUAGGUGGAUGUAGCAAGGAUAACAGGAAUGAGUGUGCCUACUCUAAGCUGGCACCUGUUGGAUGGAGUAAAUGAAGAGGAGAGGGGUGCUACCCAGUGAUUCCUUUGGCAACCAUAGUGAUCCUGGAUCUGUGGAGAUCUUUGGUUACCUCUGGGUGGUAUUCACCAUUAUUGAGGAGUUUUGUUUUAAUAUUAAUUGUUAUUGUUUACACAUUAUAUGCACCAACACAGGUGACUUUUACAUGACACCACUACCCACGAAUCUUUCAGGCUUGUGGGUGCUGGUGCUAUGUAAAAAGCACCCAUGCCAGUACCUCAUAAAAGUACCCAUGCCAGUGCUGCAUAAAUGCCCCCAGUACACUCUGUAAAGUGUUGGCAUUGGGAAGGACAUCCAGCCAUAGAAACCAAACAGACAUGGAGUCUGAGCAGCUCUUUAGCUGGCCAGCUCCUAUCGAACUGCCCAGCCCAUGCCAGCAUGGAAAACAGACAUUAAAAGAUGAUGAUGAUGCAAA
Molecule: long non-coding RNA, 2133 nt
Organism: Octopus bimaculoides (California two-spot octopus)
Lineage: Eukaryota; Metazoa; Mollusca; Cephalopoda; Octopoda; Octopodidae
Source: RefSeq, a predicted model, not a curated record